CUGUUUUUCUUCUUAAGAACUGCACAGUGAAUCCAAUGGAAAGUAUCCUGAAAAGAGUGCAGGAUAUUGGAUACAUAUUUAAAGAGAAGUUUGCUAAAGCUGUGGGACAGGGAUGUAUAGAAAUUGGAUCACAGCGAUACAAACUUGGAGUUCGGUUGUAUUACCGAGUAAUGGAAUCCAUGCUUAAAUCAG
This is a long non-coding RNA of Myotis lucifugus (little brown bat), 192 nucleotides long. RefSeq lists it as uncharacterized. The transcript is spliced from 2 exons. Lineage: Eukaryota; Metazoa; Chordata; Mammalia; Chiroptera; Vespertilionidae. The record is from RefSeq and is a predicted model, not a curated record.